UACAGAGGUCCCAAGCGUUGUUCGGAUUCACUGGGCGUAAAGGGUGCGUAGGCGGUCGAGUAAGUCUGACGUGAAAUCUCCGGGCCUAACCCGGAAACUGCGUUGGAAACUACUUGGCUAGAGGAAUGGAGGGGAGACUGGAAUACUUGGUGUAGCAGUGAAAUGCGUAGAUAUCAAGUGGAACACCAGUGGCGAAGGCGAGUCUCUGGACAUUUCCUGACGCCGAGGCACGAAAGCCAGGGGAGCAAACGGG
RNAcentral lists this ribosomal RNA (253 nucleotides) under uncultured bacterium. RNAcentral's name for it is "partial 16S ribosomal RNA". It matches the Rfam family "Bacterial small subunit ribosomal RNA", at positions 524 to 776 of the family's 1533-position model. The record is from RNAcentral.